RNAcentral lists this ribosomal RNA (513 nucleotides) under uncultured bacterium. RNAcentral describes it as "bacterial SSU rRNA". It matches the Rfam family "Bacterial small subunit ribosomal RNA", at positions 791 to 1306 of the family's 1533-position model. The record is from RNAcentral.
UAGUCCACGCCGUAAACGAUGGAUGCUCGAUGCUGGUCCGUUUCAGGGGCAGUGUCCAAGCUAACGCGUUAAGCAUCCCACCUGGGGAGUACGAUCGCAAGGUUGAAACUCAAAGGAAUUGACGGGGGCCCGCACAAGCGGUGGAGCAUGUGGCUUAAUUCGAUGCAACGCGAAGAACCUUACCCAGGCUCGAACACUACCGGACAGCCCCCGAAACGGGGUUUUCUUCGGACUGGUAGUGAGGUGCUGCAUGGCUGUCGUCAGUUCGUGUCGUGAGAUGUUGGGUUAAGUCCCGCAACGAACGCAACCCCUAUCGCUAGUUACCAGCGGGUUAUGCCGGGGACUCUAGCGAGACUGCCUGCGCAAGCAGUGAGGAAGGUGGGGACGACGUCAAGUCAUCAUGGCCCUUACGCCUGGGGCUGCACACGUGCUACAAUGGCCAGUACAAUGGGCUGCCACCCCGCGAGGGGGAGCGGAAUCCAUAAAGCUGGGUCUCAGUUCGGGAUCGGGAGU